AUUAAGACAAUUAAUAUAAGUAUUAAAAAAUGCUAUUAACAGAAAAUUUUCUGAGCUACCCUUGUCAGCUACAAUUUGCAGGGGCUACAUCGGCUACAUUUUCAAAGUUAGGCUGGUUAGGCUUGCUAGACGGAAACGAAUCCAUUACAAUCCAAUCGAGAUACAACCUUCGUGCUGCGUGCGAAUGCUGCGAGUUUGACGCUUUCUUCGUGAUCUAAGUUAAUUAUAUUCCAAUGAAGCCGCCGCCGAGUGGUCCAAAACUAAGCAUAAUAUUGGGUGGAUUUGUUGCCAUUCUAGGAGCUGCGUUGUACCCCAUCGCGAUACAUCCAUACCUGCACUCCGACGAGUACAGUAUGAAAGUGUGGUCGGACCCCUUCAGCAGGAAAUGAAAGGAUGCAAGACUGUCGUCUAGUAGCUUUAGGGGAGCCAUGAAUAUGUAUAUACAAAAUACAAAAAUGUAUUAAAACCUCCGUAGGAACGACAUA
Long non-coding RNA from Ixodes scapularis (black-legged tick), 485 nucleotides. RefSeq lists it as uncharacterized. The transcript is spliced from 2 exons. The record is from RefSeq and is a predicted model, not a curated record. Lineage: Eukaryota; Metazoa; Arthropoda; Arachnida; Ixodida; Ixodidae.